GAUGAACGCUGGCGGCGUGCCUAAUACAUGCAAGUCGAGCGAACGGACGAGAAGCUUGCUUCUCUGAUGUUAGCGGCGGACGGGUGAGUAACACGUGGAUAACCUACCUAUAAGACUGGGAUAACUUCGGGAAACCGGAGCUAAUACCGGAUAAUAUUUUGAACCGCAUGGUUCAAAAGUGAAAGACGGUCUUGCUGUCACUUAUAGAUGGAUCCGCGCUGCAUUAGCUAGUUGGUAAGGUAACGGCUUACCAAGGCAACGAUGCAUAGCCGAACUGAGAGGGUGAUCGGCCACACUGGAAAUGAGACACGGUCCAGACUCCUACGGGAGGCAGCAGUAGGGAAUCUUCCGAAAUGGGCGAAAGCCUGACGGAGCAACGCCGCGUGAGUGAUGAAGGUCUUCGGAUCGUAAAGCUCUGUUAUUAGGGAAGAACAUAUGUGUAAGUAACUGUGCACAUCUUGACGGUACCUAAUCAGAAAGCCACGGCUAACUACGUG
RNAcentral lists this ribosomal RNA (497 nucleotides) under uncultured bacterium. RNAcentral describes it as "partial 16S ribosomal RNA". It matches the Rfam family "Bacterial small subunit ribosomal RNA", at positions 28 to 507 of the family's 1533-position model. The record is from RNAcentral.